AGCGAACGCUGGCGGCAUGCCUAACACAUGCAAGUCGCACGGUGGGGCUUCGGCCUCCCAGUGGCGGACGGGUGAGGAACGCGUAGGGACCUGUCGAGGGGUGGGCGAUAACCGCGGGAAACUGCGGCUAAUACCGCAUGACGCCGCGGCGUGACAGCCGGGGCCAAAGGCGAUAGCCGCCCGCCGAGGGGCCGGCGUCCGAUUAGCUGUUUGGCGGGGUAGCGGCCCAUCAAGGCGUCGAUCGGUAGCUGGUCUGAGAGGGUGAUCAGCCACACCGGGACUGAGACACGGCCCGGACUCUUACAGGAGGCAGCAGAGGGGAAUAUUGGACAAUGGGCGCAAGCCUGAGCCAGCAAUGCCGAGUGGGUGAAGAAGGUCUUCAGAUUGUAAAGCCCUUUCGGCGGGGACGAUGGUGACGGUACCCGCAGAAGAAGCCCCGGCUAACUUCGUG
RNAcentral lists this ribosomal RNA (451 nucleotides) under uncultured bacterium. RNAcentral's name for it is "partial 16S ribosomal RNA". It matches the Rfam family "Bacterial small subunit ribosomal RNA", at positions 28 to 507 of the family's 1533-position model. The record is from RNAcentral.